RNAcentral lists this ribosomal RNA (480 nucleotides) under uncultured bacterium. Its description in RNAcentral is "partial 16S ribosomal RNA". It matches the Rfam family "Bacterial small subunit ribosomal RNA", at positions 28 to 523 of the family's 1533-position model. The record is from RNAcentral.
GACGAACGCUGGCGGCGUGCUUAACACAUGCAAGUCGAGCGGUAAGGCUCCUUCGGGAGUACACGAGCGGCGAACGGGUGAGUAACACGUGAGCAAUCUGCCCUUCUCAUCGGAAUAACCAUUGGAAACGAUGGCUAAUGCCGAAUACGACUUCCUUUCGCAUGUCAGGAAGUGGAAAGCUCCGGCGGAGAAGGAGGAGCUCGCGGCCGAUCAGCUUGUUGGUGAGGUAAUGGCUCACCAAGGCGACGACGGGUAGCCGGCCUGAGAGGGUGACCGGCCACACUGGGACUGAGACACGGCCCAGACUCCUACGGGAGGCAGCAGUGGGGAAUAUUGGACAAUGGGCGAAAGCCUGAUCCAGCAACGCCGCGUGAGGGAUGACGGCCUUCGGGUUGUAAACCUCUUUCAGCAGGGACGAAGCGAAAGUGACGGUACCUGCAGAAGAAGGACCGGCCAACUACGUGCCAGCCGCCGCAGUAA